CUGAGAUCAUCAAGAUUCAUGAUCUCAGUCAUGGAGACGGGGCCCGCUGUGGCAAGGGAAAACAAUGUAAGUAAAAACACCUUUCCUAUGGAUCAGAGCGGUUGGGAACCUAAAUAAACACUAGUGUUAGGAAUACAUGUUUGUAUUUCUGACACUAUAGUGUCCCUUUAACUGCAUAAAACUGUUUUCUUUUAAAAUGUGUUCUUUUAACGCCCUCAUUCAUAAAUAUUAAAAUAUGAAAAUUAUUUACUGUAAUUCAUAUUUUAAUUUUCCCUUUAAUUGGCGGGGAGUUAAAAAAAAAUUCUGAAAUCUUUGGGAGUGUUAUUUUAUUAAAUUUCUAUACAUUAAGUGGUGUGGACAGGCAGGGGCGUUUUAGCCGCGAGGCAAACAAGGCAUUUGCCUUGGGCGGCAUUUUUCAGGGGGCGGC
This is a non-coding RNA of Pelobates cultripes (western spadefoot toad), 427 nucleotides long. The record is from the annotation of a GenBank genome assembly. Lineage: Eukaryota; Metazoa; Chordata; Amphibia; Anura; Pelobatidae.